RNAcentral lists this transfer RNA (73 nucleotides) under Candidatus Colwelliibacteriota bacterium. RNAcentral's name for it is "Candidatus Colwellbacteria bacterium tRNA-Ile". It matches the Rfam family "tRNA". From Rfam's summary of the family: Transfer RNA (tRNA) molecules are approximately 80 nucleotides in length. Their secondary structure includes four short double-helical elements and three loops (D, anti-codon, and T loops). The record is from RNAcentral. Lineage: Bacteria; Candidatus Colwelliibacteriota.
GCGCCUGUAGCUCAGCGGUUAGAGCAUGCGUCUUAUAAGCGCAGGGUCCUUGGUUCGAAUCCAAGCAGGCGCA